UCCGUGUGUCGUCGUCGACGACGUCUACGAGAGGUUUCGAUUCUGGCUCAGGAUGAACGCUGGCGGCGUGCUUAGCACAUGCAAGUCGAACGGAGUUUAAGGGGCUUGCUCCUUAAACUUAGUGGCGGACGGGUGAGUAACGCGUGGGUAACCUGCCUUUCACUGGGGGAUAACAGUUAGAAAUGACUGCUAAUACCGCAUAAGCGCACAGGAUCGCAUGAUCUAGUGUGAAAAACUCCGGUGGUGAAAGAUGGACCCGCGUCCGAUUAGCCAGUUGGCAGGGUAACGGCCUACCAAAGCGACGAUCAGUAGCCGGCCUGAGAGGGUGAACGGCCACAUUGGGACUGAGACACGGCCCAAACUCCUACGGGAGGCAGCAGUGGGGAAUAUUGCACAAUGGGGGAAACCCUGAUGCCAGCGACGCCGCGUGAGUGAAGAAGUAUUUCGGUAUGUAAAGCUCUAUCAGCAGGGAAGAAAAUGACGGUACCUGACUAAGAAGCCCCGGCUAACUACGUGCCAGCCGCAGC
RNAcentral lists this ribosomal RNA (527 nucleotides) under uncultured bacterium. RNAcentral's name for it is "bacterial SSU rRNA". It matches the Rfam family "Bacterial small subunit ribosomal RNA", at positions 1 to 518 of the family's 1533-position model. The record is from RNAcentral.